UACGUAGGGGGCAAGCGUUGUCCGGAUUUAUUGGGCGUAAAGAGCGUGUAGGCGGCCAAGUAAGUCUGCUGUGAAAACUCGAGGCUUAACCUCGAGAUGUCGGCGGAAACCAUCUGGCUAGAGUCCGGAAGAGGAGAAUGGAAUUCCCGGUGUAGCGGUGAAAUGCGCAGAUAUCGGGAAGAACACCCGUGGCGAAGGCGGUUCUCUGGGACGGUACUGACGCUGAGACGCGAAAGCGUGGGGAGCGAACAGG
This 253-nucleotide ribosomal RNA is filed under the name uncultured bacterium. RNAcentral's name for it is "partial 16S ribosomal RNA". It matches the Rfam family "Bacterial small subunit ribosomal RNA", at positions 524 to 776 of the family's 1533-position model. The record is from RNAcentral.